RNAcentral lists this ribosomal RNA (253 nucleotides) under uncultured bacterium. RNAcentral's name for it is "partial 16S ribosomal RNA". It matches the Rfam family "Bacterial small subunit ribosomal RNA", at positions 524 to 776 of the family's 1533-position model. The record is from RNAcentral.
UACGGGGGGGGCAAGCGUUGUUCGGAAUUACUGGGCGUAAAGCGCACGUAGGCGGAUCUUUAAGUCAGGGGUGAAAUCCUGGAGCUCAACUCCAGAACUGCCUUUGAUACUGAGGGUCUUGAGUUCGGGAGAGGUGAGUGGAACUGCGAGUGUAGAGGUGAAAUUCGUAGAUAUUCGCAAGAACACCAGUGGCGAAGGCGGCUCACUGGCCCGAUACUGACGCUGAGGUGCGAAAGCGUGGGGAGCAAACAGG